Molecule: transfer RNA, 74 nt
Filed under: Acidobacteriota bacterium
Lineage: Bacteria; Pseudomonadati; Acidobacteriota
Also listed under: 2 other names
Description: tRNA-Gln
Rfam family: tRNA
About the family: Transfer RNA (tRNA) molecules are approximately 80 nucleotides in length. Their secondary structure includes four short double-helical elements and three loops (D, anti-codon, and T loops). Further hydrogen bonds mediate the characteristic L-shaped molecular structure. tRNAs have two regions of fundamental functional importance: the anti-codon, which is responsible for specific mRNA codon recognition, and the 3' end, to which the tRNAs corresponding amino acid is attached (by aminoacyl-tRNA synthetases). tRNAs cope with the degeneracy of the genetic code in two manners: having more than one tRNA (with a specific anti-codon) for a particular amino acid; and 'wobble' base-pairing, i.e. permitting non-standard base-pairing at the 3rd anti-codon position.
Source: RNAcentral
UGGGAGGUCGUUCAAUGGUAGGACAACUGGCUCUGGACCAGUGAAUCGGGGUUCGAGUCCCUGCCUCCCAGCCA